CUUCAAUAAGGGUUUGAUAACUUCUAAAUUUCCUUUCGCAUAUAGUCGCUAAUGUAGUUAUGAUCUUACUUUUUGUUAAAUACAUUCAUAAUCUUGGAGGUUGUUAGAUACCUUAGAUUGAUGUUUAAUGACACUUGUGUUGUGUUUCCUUGCUGGUUUCAUCAUUGGUACUCUAACUUUGUACUUUUAUGUAUCAAUCUCUUUAAGAAAUCCUUUUAUUGUGAUAAGAAGUGCUUUAUGAGGUUAAAAGUGUUUUGUGAAAGAAAAGAGUUGAUUAAAGAGAGACAAAGCUUAUUCAAGAGGUUAUCAAACUUAUGAGAAGUCUUAUAAGUAAAGUUGAGAGUGAUUGAAGAGUGUAAACAAUAGUUUAUUCAUUAAGAGGGCAUUUUGGGUUUCUAAGGUAGCAACAUCUUCUUGUUGAUUUUGACAGUUCAUUCUUUCAUUUUUUUGAUUUUCUUUGAUACACCCUUUCUUAAGACAUGGCUAUAAGUAAGGAUGAGGGUUUGAGAGUAAUUGAGAAGUUUGGGGUGACAACUUCUACCAUUGGAAGAAGAAAAUGGAACUCUUGUUCGCUUCAUUAGAUCUUUGAAACAUUGUUGAUGAAAGUGAAGACCCUCCAGGUAAUAAUGCUGAUGUGAAGGUAAAGAAGGAAUACAAACGACGUAAAAUGAAGGCUUUUGGUAUGAUUGCAACAAAUCUUGAUGAUGCAAACUUUUCACAUGUAAAUGCUUGCAUUGGACCAACAAAAGUAUAGAAGACUCUUUACAACAUCUAUGAGAAUAGAAACCUUAUCAACAUUCUAUGGACAAGAAAG
This 814-nucleotide long non-coding RNA is filed under the name Physcomitrium patens. RNAcentral describes it as "long non-coding RNA (PPAT_LNC014989)". Lineage: Eukaryota; Viridiplantae; Streptophyta; Bryopsida; Funariales; Funariaceae. The record is from RNAcentral.